CCGCCGGGCCCGGUCUCGCGAGAGGUGGGAGCCGCUCACCCUGCUCUCGCGAGAGUACCAGCGCACCGCCCGGCGCCGGCCCGCCGCUCGGCCCCCACUCAUUGUCCGCGCGCUCCCGCGGGGGCCGAUGGGAAGGCGCUCGAGGGCGGGGCUCGGUCUGGCCCCGCCCCCCGCCCGGGGCUGAGGGAGGCGGGGGGGGGGGCUGAAUGAGAAAGGGUCACGGGUUCGCGGCCGCCCUCAGCCCCUUCCCGUCAUACCCACCCGCCAGCGCGGUGACAACCGGAGGACAGUCCCGGGGUCGGUGCCCUCUGAACCCCAAGAUGAAAUGCGCCCUCAGCCAUGGCGGAGGGAAACCCUCCUCGCACAGCGCCGGGGCUCCUCAUCGCUUCUCCUGCCUUCCAUUGCUGGAAAUGGAGGAGUGGGUAACGAUUUGUGGCAAAAGACUCGGUCUCCCCAUCAUCUUGGAAGCCACUGUGUUUGGGCAGCUUUACAAAGGUGAGGGAUUGUGGCUGAAUUUGGUCUCCAGAAGAGAAAAAUCCGUCCUUUGAAUUCAUCACAGGCUGAUUGUUCCUCUCUGUGUGUGGCUGGAGAGCAUAGUGAGACAGCAACACAGAAGGCGCUGGAAAAAAUCAGGAGGUUGGUACAAAAUACAUGUUGAAAUAAUAUGAAAGUGCUCUAAGAACAAUCGUGAGAAAUGCAGCUCUCUUAACAAGCUCGGGAUAAAAAACCAAUUAAGUGCUCAAAACCAAACACAUAAAUCUAAGUUAACAAUACUUCUGUGCUCCAGCACUGCAGAGCAGUAAAAGCAAAGCGCCUUGAUGAAAUGUAAAGCGAUACAGCCACUUUUGCCCAGUCAAAGUCAUAUAUAGAUUGCAAAACGUACAGUGCUAAUAAAUAGAAUCAUAAAUCACGCUAGCAGUUGCUGAGUACGAGCGAGCCUUGCUCCAUUUCCCCGGCUUCAUUUCAACACCGGAAUUUUGUGCUUCUGAGACCACGUGGGUUUUCUCUCAAUUUCCUUUGUUGUCCCUCGGUCAAGGCGCUGAACUGGCGGCCAGGUGAAUCGUUUUGACCUUCAUUGAUUGCAUGUGGCUGCAGGAGCCGCGCAGCGCUGACCAGCGUGGCCCUGCUAACGUGGCUGCUGCGCUAAGACGCUGCGCUGCAGCGCCUGUGCACGUGCUGAUCGCCGGAGAACGUUCAUAACAUCCCUAGGCUGGUUUUCUCUUCCAGUAUGUGCACGAAGCCCGGUGGAUCCGGGGAAAAGCGCCACCCCUCCAGCUGUCUCCAGCGCUGUGGGGCCUCAGAAUUGCUGCCAACAGUUUUCCAUCACUUUCUGCUGCAUUUUUUCUUAUAGCACAACCAGGCCCACGAGUCUUGGGUUCAGCCCCAAGACAAAUGUAGUAGAGGUUUAUCGCGCACACAGUUUUUCAAGGAAAUAAGCCAGUCAGCGUGUAUUUAUUGUCUAUAUAGCACAUGCUUUAUGUGGCUGACAGUAGGGCAUGUAUUCCUAAUUUUUUGCUGAUUUCAGAAAUACCUGGUACAGAAGCAGAGACAGCAAACGUGUUUUUCAGCAGAGAGCUCUUGCAGUGAGAACUGGAGCCUAUAGCCCCCCAAGGGCAGCCAGACAUGGGCACCCAUCGCUCGCUCCCACACGAGCACCGGGGAAGAUCACUGGGUACAACACUAAUCCUGGUCAUUCGUUGUGCAGGUAGAACUUGUUCAUAUAGAACCAGUCAAUAUGCUGAAUACUCUGAGAAGUAUUUCUGUAUAGCGUGUAAGAAAUGCAUAUUCAGAGAUUAGUGACAAACGGCAGAAGGGCUCACAGGGAAGCGAGCGGAGUCAGGGGCACUUAACAAUUAGGAGAGCCAUGAAAACCCUGAGCGCUAUAAUUCAUUUAUACCAACUGGAGCACCUAUUUGACAUAAACCAUCUGUAACUAACCUGGGAUGUGCCAGCGUUUUACCAAAAGCCUCACGUUUGUUUAAUUUCUAAGUAGAUGGCACUGCAGCAUCUACAACAAGGUAACUGUAACGUCACUGAAGGCCAUUGAACUAUUUUUUUUUUUAAACUGAAAAUGGAAGUUUUAGCCUAAAAAAAAGUGUUGGAGGGAAGGAAGCCUUGUUAAGGAUCUGUCCUCGCGGCAGAGGGUACAGUGGAGCGUGCGCGAGUAGCAGGAGGCUGCCCCGUGCUGCACUCCUGCCUCUUUAGCCUCCUGCAGACAGGAAUUCACUGUGACUUUCCAAUCCUGCUGUACCCCACAGCCUUAGGAGACAAAACCCAAAAAGACCAUGUUUACAUAAAAAUAGGUUUAAUAAAUAGAGGUCACAGAAGAAAAAUAUUUUAAGCAGUGAGAGGGGAUUACCAAUUAACAAAUUAUGUGUGUAAUUCCUGUUACACCUUGCCCCCAACCACCUUUGAUGUUUCAAGCUGCCACAUCCAGGUCCUGAAAAGUAUUGCCAUUUAUACUGUGGAAGUUCCCAUCUUCUCAAGUUCUUUCAAAGAGGCACCAACAGCUGAUUCCUUUUCUUCUGACAACUACUGGCCCAGCGAGCCCCCACCUGCGGCAAAACGUCCAAACCACUGCCUGUAAUUAAAAAACACAGUUAACAGGAGCAUCUCUAAAGACCCCAAAUUCAACCCUUAACGCUGACCAGUUAAAUUACCUGACCUUCGUUUUUAUAUAACUCGAUAUUAAGCAAAAUAUCUGCAACAGAUUUAUUUAUGUAUUUAGACUGUGCGCUGUCUGCAUCCAAUCCAGGACUGACUCCACGCAGGAGUCGCUCCACUCUCAAGCAUGCAGAGCGCUGCCGAAACCCGGCCCGGCCGGCACUAGAACAGCCCCGGCGGCGCCAGGAGCGACUCGGCGGCGCGUUUCUCUCCCAGCGGCAUAACACCGACCCCAGCACGGAGCAGCAACGGGCAGCUGACUACCGCUGGGCCAAACACCACUCAAACCUGUGUUUUUAAAGGACAGGAGGAAGCAGAAACCCAAAAGCACGUUCCCCUGGCGAUGUGGGGCUUAGCAGAGAGCACAGCACAGUUUUUAAAAUGACUUUCUUCUGUUUGUUUUUCUCUCAGGUAAUUAUAAUUUUACCAGCCGUAUGCUGCAUUAUUACACAACAGCAGCGUUUCCCUCUUCUGCUUGGGCCAACAGGGAGAUUUCAAGUUGCUCAAGCAAUGUGUGGUGUGCUGUAAUUUCUACGGUUAUUUCUGAUUAUUAAAUGUGUUCAUGUGUCACUGUUUGGA
This is a long non-coding RNA of Columba livia (rock pigeon), 3243 nucleotides long. RefSeq lists it as uncharacterized. NCBI's taxonomy places the organism in Eukaryota, Metazoa, Chordata, Aves, Columbiformes, Columbidae. The transcript is spliced from 2 exons. The record is from RefSeq and is a predicted model, not a curated record.